Molecule: non-coding RNA, 1285 nt
Organism: Corylus avellana
Lineage: Eukaryota; Viridiplantae; Streptophyta; Magnoliopsida; Fagales; Betulaceae
Source: RefSeq, a predicted model, not a curated record
UCCAAAAGAUAGGGGUGUGUAUAAUUUUGGAUACAUGUAGCAGUACCUAGAGAAGCUCAUUUCUACAGUUCUAUGUUCAGCAAAGCAGAGUCUCCUCUUUCAAACCCAAGCCAAGCCCUCUGUUUACAGUAACAUUCACACGAAUCACACCCAAACAUUAAGCAAACCAAAACCUCAAAUUUAUUCAGUGACUAUGGAUGUGCAUGACGGAAAUGGAAGAAUGGAAACUUCUGCUGGAGGGGAACCUAAUACACGUAUUGUUGUUGUUGAAACAAAUCAAGAACCAUGUGUUGGUAUGCAUUUUGAAUCUGAAGAAGCUGCCAGAGCAUUCUAUGAUGAGUAUGCCAAAGGAGUAGGAUUUGGAACCCGUGUAUUGUCAUCCCGAAAGUCUGAGCGUGAUAGGUCAAUCAUCUCCCGCGGACUUGGAUGUAGAGGGGGUUCUGUUAAUCGAAAGCAAGGUGGGCAGCGGGAGGUUUGCACAGCAAUGGUUCUGUUGAAGAGAGAGAAAUCUGGGAGAUGGCUGGUUAGGAAAUUUGUGAGGGACCAUAAUCAUCCAUUGAUGGUUCAAUUGCGAAAGAGUCGUCGAACACUUGAUGAGAAGGAUAGGAAAAUUCUGGAAUUAUCGGCGGAACUGCGGGCAAAGAAGAGGUUAAGUGCAGCAUAUAGAGAGCAGCUACUUAUAUUUAUGAAAGAUGUUGAAGACCAUAAUGAGCACCUAUCGACAAAAGUUCAAUUAGUUUUUGACAAUCUAAGGGAGUUUGAAGCCAAAAGGAAAAAGGUCUCAGACCAUAGAUAACUUCUACAUAUGGAAUCCAUUCUUGGAAAGUGACUAAAAUUUGACACAUGCGGAAUUUGGCCCUCUAUGCUCUAUGACCCUAAAUGUUGGACCGUUAAGAAAUAAGAUGUUCAUGAAGAAUGAAGUCAUCCGUUCAAAGAUUUGAAGUCACAAAGUGGAGAGUAUUUUGAAGGUUGAGGCUAUGCUAUUUGCACAUUGAGUCUAGUUUGGUACAUUUAAAAUCAAAAUUAUGAGAUGUAACAUGUUGCAUUAUAAUUCUGAAACCCUGAGGUUUGUAAAUAUUUCGGUUAAGCUUGAUUUGUAAUGCAAAAUGUUAUUGAUAUUGAUUUUAGUUAUGCUCUGAAUGAUCAUGUGUUAUUGUUUCCUUGUAACACUUGGUUAUGUCUAAUGCUUUCUCUUCAAAACUGUAUUGGUAGAAUCUGAAAUGCUUUGUUGCAGUCGCUGUAAAUCAUUCCAACUAAUCCAUAUGUAUGGUCUUCGUGAGGAACC